GAAUACAUUCAAUAUUUUCAUACAUAACUCAAACUUCAAUCUUUAUAAGCAUGAAAGAAAACAAUACAAUAUUACACAAAUUAUUGUAACCACAUAGCUAAUAGCUCAACCCUUAGUUUAGAUUCAACUUAACCUUAGUGGAUUGUAGACCUACCACGUCUAAUAUUAAAUUUAAUAACAUGAUCAUUACUUAAGUACAUCAAUAGCUCUUAAGUAUUCUAAAUGAUCUCAAACAUUUCAUACAUUGGCUUUUCUAAUAACCUAACAACUAGUUAUCUUUAUCCUGUUGGACAUUAGCCCCAAAUAAUCCUCCAAUAAAACUUAAGAAGCCACAAUGUCAUCAAGAACUCACUUCACAUGGCAAAUUCAUCUCAAAAACAGAAUUGGCACUAAUCUUCAAGGUCUCACUAUUGGCUCUUCACCUUUAACUUUCAAAAGCUAGACUUGGUCCUUUCAUUUCAUUUUUCCAAAAUUAAUCGUGCUUUCUAGUCACAUCAUAAUGAAUAUACUAAAUUCUUCCCAAUCUGCAAAUAUACCAUUGAAUGAAAUAUCUGAUACUCGAGUACAGGAAUCUAGAAAUAGGGUAAUUCACAGCUCAGGCUGGCCAGUCCCAAGGGUAACUUACCUAUAUUUGAGAUUCCUACCCAACAUACAUCUCUAAUAUCCCCAAUUAUAGACUUUUGUUCUACACUUAAUGAGCCAAUCCCCACAGUCCGAGAAUCCUCUCCCGGCACGAGCUCGAUAGGAGCUCUGAUACCACCUGUGGCGACCCCACUUCCCCCUAAGGCGAACCAGAGGGUUGGCGGGCCGUCUGCCUAGCUCUCGCCAGGACUCACACAAGCAAACUAAUCCAAAUCCUUUCGAAGAAUAUCCUAAACUAUUACAAUAUCACUUUUCUCCAAAAUUGAUCAACAACUAAACCACAUUAACUUCAAAGAUAACAGCAGAUUUAAAUAGCCAAUCGACGGCUCUUAAACGUCUCACGCGUUACAUCCAAGGAAUAAGGUCGUACAAUUCUAAAUACAUAUAAAAUUCAUACAAACCAGAUAUCGAAAAAUCGUCCGUCCCAACUAAGCAAAAAUUCAUACAACAAAAUACAACAAUCAAACCAAGCAUCCAAAUUAAGUUUUACACAUUUUCCAGCUUCACGCGGCAAUCCAAGACCAAAAGUACGUAGUUCAAACUUUAGCACAAAACAACCCACAAAAUAAGCCAUACUAUCCAAUUACAUUCCAAAAAGAAAUAUAGGUAAGUUUCAAGGCUUUCAGUUUCCAGAACCUGUCAGGGAAAACAAAUAAACGUGGGGUGAGCUAAAGCUCAGUGGUGCCCCAAAACAUGCAAUCAGAUAAAACAAAUAUCACGUAUCGAUUUUAAUUAAAGUAAACAAAUAGGAAAGCGUGUAACAGCACAAGGUAGGAUACAGGGGCUCUCAGGAGCCAUUCUCCUUGCUUGAUCAGAAAUUACCGUAGUCGACCCUCCGUCAACUCUCACUACUUAAAGUCCAUGUAGAUACUCUUAUUUUUCUUAGCUCCAACCACCGAACAUACCCCAGCUCCGGGCCCGCACGACAAAAUAAAUGAGAGCGGUAGUACUCGAGUAUACCUGGGACUGGUCGAGGGAUUUCCCCAACGACGUUGCGUCCAGCAAGAGAUUAGUAUAGACUGGUCGAGGGAUUCACCCAGCGACGUUGCGUCCAGCAUGAGGUUAUUAUAGACUAGUCGAGGGAUUCACCCAACGACGUUGCGUCCAGCAUGUAGAUAGUGCAAGCAGGAUAUUCGCGAAAACAUUUCAAGCAAGUCUCCACUUGAACGGCUAAUGUGGUAAAGUACACAUAGCUCACUUCGAUGGAUCAAAACCAUAUUUCCAAAUAUCACAUAUCAAGCCGAGAAAGCGCAUUAAUCAGGUAAGCAUAGAACAAGCAGGGACACUCAGCAAGAGUGAAGUUCAAAGGUCAAGCCGGGAAUCGUAGUCCAAGUCCUCGCUAAAUCCUAGAAAUCCAAGUUUUAAGAACUAUAAGUUUUACUAAGCAAACUCUUGACUUCAAACAUAUAAAAGAUUAUCUUGUAUUAAACUAGUUUAUUUCCCUGAAACAAAUCAAUAAAUUUCUUAAACAUCAAGACUAGUAAGGAAUAAAGUGUUUCAUGUGGUUUCUUUAAAGAUAUUUUAUUUCAAGGGUGCAAACUAGAACCAAAGUGGUUCAGACGGGUUUUCCUUGCCGAAUAAGUUUUCUAUGCCUUUUAUUUGAAAUUACUUAAAUCUAGUAUUUUUUUUUCCAAAUUUCCUUUAAAACAACUGGUCAAGAAUAGUUUUAAGAAAACUUAAGGUUUAAGAGUUGGAUACAAAUACUCCCUAAAGGUAAUAAAGCUAGUUUAAGCAAAAUAAAAGAAUUAACUAGUCGGCAAGGUUUUGAAAGUCCCAAUAUCUAACUUUCUAAUAAUACUACACUAAACUCGAAUUCUAUCACUUGAUAUUAAAGCGGAAUAUUUCCACAAAAUUUGAUUUUGAAAGUAUUCAAGUUCAAGAAUAAUCAAAACGGUCUUCACGAUUCUAGCUCAUUUGCACAAUGGAUUCCCAGGUCACCAAGAUGGAAACGUUACAAACCAAAUAUCAAUUUCACUAGGGCUUCAUCAAUCAUUAGCCCUAGAUCUCAACAAACUCCAGUACAAUUAGAAUUCAACGAAGGAAGUCCAAGGUAACAAGACAAACAAAAAUGCAAACCAUGGACCUCCCAAGUACAUUUCAGCCAACCACUUGAACAAAUUCAACAAAAAUUAAAUUAUUGCAAAACUACUCAAAUGGCCAAGAGCUUCAUCAAUCAUUAGCUCUUGACAACAAUCAAUCACUUCCAACCACAAUUCAACCAGAAAUUCAAACCACAAAUAAGCUAAAUGUUCGAUCCAAGUCAAAAGUUCAGUUUCAUAAAGAAACAAGACAUUCAAGCAGGACAGUCUACUUUGAGGAGUCACGGACAGCGGUACACAUGGAGGAAAAAUAUGAAAUUUCUACAGAACAAAGGCCCAUGAUUCUAGUUUCAAAUGCCACUGACGGCACCUUAAACGGAUUUUCCUACACCAAGAUAUAAGCAUUUUACUGAGACUGGUCAGUGAAAUCCGAAAAUCUGAAAUCUCAUUUUUCACUUGUGAAAAACUCCUUUUUCUCUUUUAACACCAAAAUGUUUUUAUUCAACCAUCCAUACAUUUCUUAUAGAACUCCAAGACAACAUAUUCUAGGCAUUUCCAUCCAUCAUGUUUCAAGGAAAAAUUUAAAAACCAAGCUGAGAUUCCAUCUCAACCUUUGACUAUCACAUAAGAAAUUCCAGCAACUAAUAUACUUUAGAUCAAAUUUUCCCUUGGUUUAAACAUGGUGUUAUGUACUCAAAUUCAGCAUUUAAACACUUAUCUAGUUAUUAAAGAUUUCCACUUCAUAACCAGAUUCACACAGCAACUAAAAUCAUCCAGAAAAAUCCAGAAAUCUGUCCAUCAGCCACGGAUGAACAUGCAUGAAGGAACGUUCUGGUUUCAUUUUAUUUUCUGGAUUUAAACAUGCUUUUAAACUCUCAACUUCCUCAUGCAAUUACUUAGCUAGAAAAUAAACAUUUCCAGUUCAGAAAUCGAGUUCAAACAACAACCUUUAACAUCAAAAUUUUCUAACUUGGCUCGGAUGAACGUGCGUGGGCAGAUUGCACUUUGAUUUUAUUUUUCUGGUUUUAAACUAACUAAUUAGCUACAUGCAGAGCCUAAUUAACUUGUGAUUAACUAUCUAAUUAUGGUUAUAAUCUCAAACAACAAAAUUGAACCAAAUCAAGCUGCAAUAAUCAAGCUAAGCUCUCGGCAGUUUCCCUACUAGCACAUAACAGAAAUUCUUUUCUUAAAAAUCUCAUCCGGAUGCCUAACCUCCACAUGCAAGUUCUUAGAUGACUUAAACUUCUUGUUAUUAAUUGGUUAAACACUUAAUCGAGCUCAGAUUAUCGCAGGAAAUUAGAAAUGAAGCUACAAUUCCAAGCCAGCUCCUCGGCAGAAACCUCUAGCCAAAACAGAAUUUUUGUCUGCUUUAUCAACAUCAUCCGAAUGCACAAAUCAACAUGCAUGGUCUUAAUCUUCAAGUUUCCACUCAGCUAAUGACACUUAGGUGUUCAGAUUGCCAUGGAAAAACAAAAAUGGAGCUGCAUUAUCACUUCAGUUUCUCGGCAGCAACAUUUCAUCAAAACAGAAAUUUUUCUAAAGGCUCGAUUUCAACAACCGACUGAGCAAUCCAUACAUGCAAGCUCUGAUAUAGCUUCCUAUACUUUUAAUCAACCUAAUAAGUCCAGAAAUUACCUCAGAUAUAAGCUAGGCUCACACACGAAAAUUCCAGAAUUUUCUUUCCUUGCUCUCGGUUUCAAGUGCAGGUCGGUUGUCCUGGUUCCUGAUUUGCGGUUGAGAAUUGGUUGCAGCUGGUGGAUUUGAGUUCGGUUGGUUGGAGUUGGUGGAGAUGGAGGUUCAGAAUGGUGAAGCUUCACCGAAAAUUUCUCCCUGGUUUCACUCCAGCUUACGGCAGAACCAGAAAAUUUCUGCAGCUCACGUUCCCUCCUCACUUGCUCUCGGAUGCAGCUCACCAGGUAACUCUCUCUCUUGUAUACACUCGGUCUAAGGCAGUGGAAGAGAUGAGGUGAUGAUUGUGGAGAGGGAGUGUGAUGGCUGCGGUGAAAUUGUGCAGAGGAAAUGAGAUAGUGAAGAGGCGGUAUCUCGGUUUUAAGAAGGAAAGGAAAUGGUUUUCGGUGAGUUUGUGCAGAGGAAGUGAAUUUGUGGUUUGAGAUGUGAAAUAGAGCGAAUGGUAUAAGGUGCCGCGGUAUUAGGAGCAGAGGUUGCGUGUGUGCGAAUCGGUUGCGUAUCGAAUUGGAUAAAAUGUGAUUGGCCAAUAGUUGCGGUGAUUGAAAUUUGCGGUCAGAGGAUUUGUUUGGUUUGCAUGGAAAUGUAAGGGCAUUUUAGUCUUUUCACUUUGCUCCCUAACCUCAACUUAAUUUCUCAAUUCUAACUUAAUUCUAAAAAUUAUCCCCAAGUGUGAUUUGAACGCCUAAUUAUACCCUAAUAUACCUAAUAAUAUACUAAUCUCGCAAAGAUUCGAUUAUCAAGAUUUUAACCUCCUAAGUGUACCCAAUGUACUUGUAACGGUUUAUCAAAAAUAUAUCGAGUCAUCUUAAUUCUAAGGUUCCUAUUAACACUUAACAUUCUUAUUUUAUUAUUAAAAUUAUUAAAAUUAUUAAAAUUAUUAAAAUCAAGUUUGACCUUAAUAUAUAAAUUUAACAUUCUUAAUAUUCGUUUAUCCUUUUAUAUCAAAACUUAUUAACUUAAUCAUUAUUAACGCUUAAGAUUAGCUAUCGGAAUUCAAAGAAAUUUAAUUGUUAAAUCAAUGAAAUAAUUUACCUUCGAAAUAUGAAUUUAAUGUAACAAAACUAGGAAAUUUAAUAGUUUAGCACAAUUCUUUUUAUUUUGCACAAAAAUUUAUUUCUACGCACUUAUUUAAAAACAAUUAGAUUUAAUGCUAAAAUUUAUUUAAGCAUUAAGAAUGCAAAUGAAAUAUGCACUGAUAUCUAUAUAUGUAUAUUUUCAGGGUUCUCACAUCCUCCCCUCCUUAAAAUGAAUUUUGUCCUCAAAAUUCUCACCUUCUUGCAUUUUCGGGCAACCGGCAAUUUGGUGCUCGCUACUUCCACACCUCAAGCACUUUCCUCCCUUUUUCCAGCAUUCGUUCUCAAUAUGACCAGCCCUCCUGCAAUACCCACAAGUUACCUGAGAGGUGGUCACACGGCCUCCUUGUGGGGCGUUCCUAGGUUGGUUCCUUCCACUUGGUCCUCCGUUAGCUCCAUUAGCUCUUUCCCCGGUACCUCUGGUCCCAGCUCCUCUCGCUAGAGCGCCUCGUGGUGCUCCAUGAUUAUUUACUCCACCCGUUCCUCGACCCACUUUGGCCGGUGGAGCAUUUGCAUAAGUCGGCUCCCGACUGCUGCUAGGUGCAAAUCUUUUCUUGGCCUGGAAAGUUUUUACUUGAGCUCUGGCAACUUCAACCCUUUGAGCUCUCUCUACAGCAUCAGCAAAUGUGUCUAUUCGAACAGCAGCUAAUCCCUCCUGAAUUUCCACGUUCAGUCCCUGCACAAACCUCCUUACACGCCUUUGCUCCGUAGCUACCAAUUCCGGAGCAUAACGGGAUAAUUUCGUGAAUUGAAUCUCAUAUUCUGCGACACUCAUCGCCUCCUGCCUACACUUAAUGAAAUCAUCCUCUCUUUUCUCUUGGAUGAGAGGAGGAAGAAAUUUGGUGUUGAAUUCCCUUGUGAAGUUCGCCCAGGUCCUAGGAAUAUGAUUCUUGUCCCAAUUGACCCUAAUUAGGUUCCACCAGGAACGAGCAGCUCCCUCAAACUGGAAUGCUGCGAAAGUCACUUGCCUCUCUUCUGGAUAAUUUAGGGCGGCAAAAAUAUCAGAGAUCCUCUCCCACCAACCUUCGACUACCUCAGGUUCUGGCCCUCCGUAGAACUUAGGAGGUCCAAACUUCAGGAAUCUCUCUAAUGCCCGAUCCUCAGAAUCGAUUGGGCCUCCUUGCUGAUGCACCGCUCCAUGAGCUUAGUGCUCAGUCAUGCGCUCUAACACAUCAGUUAUUCUAUUGAUUGCGGUGGCCACGGAAUCUCCGGCCACGUUUCCCUGACCAUGGUCUGGGUUGACCUCAGGUUCCCUAUCACCACUACCCUCGGGGUGUUGCCUAGUUGGUCUCCCACGUCCUCUACCUCUAACUUGGAGAUCCAUAGCCUAGUUAUGCCUAUUAUUGGAAAAUAAGGCAUUUAGGCGAGAAUAGAAACAUUUAUUAUAUUAUUAUUCUUUUUGUAAGUAAAAUCAAUAUGAGAAUUGAGAAAAAGGAGAGUUAAUUAGUCAUGUAACUUAUUCAACUAUAUCAUGUAUUCAAAUUGCUCAAAUCACAAUAUUCCUAUCUUAUUUUUAUUCGAUUCAUAUAUAUAUAUUACACUAUUCUAGGAUAUUUCUAAAUUCUCAAGAAUUUUUUUUUUCAACAUUAUAACAAAGUAGACGUGUAAUCAUCAAAUUUCAUACACACAAUAUGAGUCACAUUGCAUACCAAUUUCAUACAACUUCAAGAGCCAAACAAUUCACGAAUACAUUCAAUAUUUUCAUACGUAACUCAAACUUCAAUCUUUAUAAGCAUGAAAGAAAACAACACAAUAUUACACAAAUUAUUGUAACCACAUAGCUAAUAGCUCAACCCUUAGUUUAGAUUCAACUUAACCUUAGUGGAUUGUAGACCUACCACGUCUAAUAUUAAAUUUAAUAACAUGAUCAUUACUUAAGUACAUCAAUAGCUCUUAAGUAUUCUAAAUGAUCUCAAACAUUUCAUACAUUGGCUUUUCUAAUAACCUAACAACUAGUUAUCUUUAUCCUGUUGGACAUU
RNAcentral lists this long non-coding RNA (7422 nucleotides) under Coffea arabica (coffee). RNAcentral's name for it is "long non-coding RNA (CARA_LNC002581)". The record is from RNAcentral. Lineage: Eukaryota; Viridiplantae; Streptophyta; Magnoliopsida; Gentianales; Rubiaceae.